Molecule: ribosomal RNA, 617 nt
Filed under: Halalaimus sp. TCR26
Lineage: Eukaryota; Metazoa; Nematoda; Enoplea; Enoplida; Oxystominidae
Description: eukaryotic LSU rRNA
Rfam family: Eukaryotic large subunit ribosomal RNA
Source: RNAcentral
CAAAGAACUUUGAAGAGAGAGUUCAAUAGGACGUGAAACCGGACAGAUAAUAACCGUUCAACUGGCUUGUAUGUCAGAGAUUCAGCAGGUUUGUUACUUGUGCGUCUCUUUGGCGAUGCUUGCGGCGACUGAUGAUGUGCAUGAAUGUAUUCAGGUGGCUGCCUCGGCAGUGUCUUGAUUAUUUGAGUGCACGGCGGAUGUUGCUUGGUGGUGAGUGCUCGUAGUACGGAUCGCUGCGACUUUUUCCUUGGGCUGUCUCGGCAGUGUUUGGACUUUUUCGUACGUGCUAUGUCCGAGUCAAAGACCAUAUUCAAGCAAAGAGUUUGUUGUACGACCCGUCUUGAAACACGGACCAAGGAGUCUAAAUUGUGCACGAGUGAUUGGAUUUUAAAUCCAAACGCGAAACGAAAGUAAACAGUCAGAUUUACACGCAUUACAGACGUGUAUCGAGUCUGCUCGAUACCCAGUAUGAGUGCAUGGAUUAGUACCCGAAAGAUGGUGAACUAUGCUUGAGCAGGACGAAGUCAGAGGAAACUCUGAUGGAAGUCCGAAGCGGUUCUGACGUGCAAAUCGAUCGUCAGACUUGAGUAUAGGGGCGAAAGACUAAUCGAACCAUC